Oryza sativa Japonica Group (Japanese rice) is the source of this 213-nucleotide microRNA precursor. It matches the Rfam family "MIR812 microRNA precursor family". Lineage: Eukaryota; Viridiplantae; Streptophyta; Magnoliopsida; Poales; Poaceae. The record is from Rfam.
AAUAGAUGACGCCGUUAACUUUUUCUCACAUGUUUGACUAUUCGUCUUAUUCAAAAAAUUUACGUAAUUAUAAUUUAUUUUGUUAUGAGUUGUUUUAUCACUCAUAGUACUUUAAGUGUUUUAAGUGUGAUUUAUAUCUUAUACAAUUGCAUAAAAUUUUUGAAUAAGACGAAUGGUCAAACAUGUGAGAAAAAGUCAACGGCGUCAUCUAUU